This 531-nucleotide long non-coding RNA is filed under the name Medicago truncatula (barrel medic). RNAcentral's name for it is "long non-coding RNA (MTRU_LNC007392)". The record is from RNAcentral. Lineage: Eukaryota; Viridiplantae; Streptophyta; Magnoliopsida; Fabales; Fabaceae.
ACUUUCUAUCAGCUUCUAAAACAGCUCAAUUAUGAUUUAAGCAAUUCUGUCAACUCCCAAAAUAGUUUAUCAGUACACCAACUACUCAUAUGGUAACUUGAAUAUAGCAUUGGUAAUAUAAAGAACACACAACCAUACCUGCAACAACUUGUAUUCCAACUUAAGCUUCUGUAAAACAACUUAAUUGACAGCUUAUUGCUUCUAAAGGCUUUAAUUUUAACACAAACACUAAACCAUCAAUUCAAACAUACCCCACAACAAUUUAAUUGCUACUUUCUAAACAAUCUGAUGGCAACAGAGCUUGUGGUUGAGUUCAGCUACUGUAGCCUUGCAUGUUGGUAAUUUUGAGUGAAAAUGGAGAAAUAUUUGGAGAAGAUGGGUGAAUAGUGAGGGGGAAUUUUUUUGUUUAGUAUAGUAGAAUCGGAAAUUUUUUUGUUUAGUAAGGGUAAAAUGGUAAAAGAAACAGACAUUGAUUUUUCUAAAUAGUAUAGUAGAUUUUGCAAAUUAAGGUCUAUGUGAAAUUAGUUACUU